AGAAAGUAAGAUGGAACACACAUUUUCACAUUGCAGUUUCUGCCCUGAGACAUCUAUUUACAAAAAACUAACACUGUGAAAUAAUUCCUUUCAGAACUUUUUGCAAACAGACCAAGGAUGGGGAAGAUCCCAGAUCUUCAGGGCCAGACAUACCCAAGCCCCAGUCCUGAAAGCUGCCUUUGUCCUCCCACCACCACCACUUCUACUGCCUGGGAACAAGGUCGGGAACUGGGGGAGGGGAAGAAAGGAAAAGGAGGGCAGGGACUGGAACUGAACUGGACCAAAGAAAGAGAAAAUGCCAGGAUGACGGCAUCAUGGAGACCAGCCAAGGACAAGACAGCUGCUAGAACAUGGGAAUAUCUUAAGAGGAAAGGACAGUUUGCAAGCAAUAUUCCUAGCAUGGCCGCCACCAAGCCCGGAUUCCAACAUCGGCAGCUGUACCUCCAGGAACUGUGACACAGGCCAGGUUCUCCUUCCUCAGGUCUGACAGAGUCUUCCUCUCCUAUCUUCUCCCCUGUUUUACUUGGAGGAUCUCUGAACAUCGAGGAUGCUCUCUGGAUAUUGAUGAGGAAAUUGAGGCAAACAAGUUUAAGUGACUUGCCCAGGAUCAUCCAGCUACUAAGGUCAAAUUUGAAUUCAGAAUUUCUUGACUCCAGCUCCAGAAAUCCAGAAGAUGAAAAGACCCAUUUACAUCUGAGUAAACAGGGAAGGGUUGGGCUGGAAGACUACUUGGAGUCAAUAAAGCAAAAUCCAGAGGUACUUUAUAUAUAAAAUAUACAAAGAGAAUAUAUGGGCCAGUUUGGCUAGAGAAUAAAGCUAAUUUAC
Antechinus flavipes (yellow-footed antechinus) is the source of this 825-nucleotide long non-coding RNA. RefSeq lists it as uncharacterized. Lineage: Eukaryota; Metazoa; Chordata; Mammalia; Dasyuromorphia; Dasyuridae. The record is from RefSeq and is a predicted model, not a curated record. The transcript has 4 exons.